This 325-nucleotide long non-coding RNA is filed under the name Homo sapiens (human). RNAcentral describes it as "non-protein coding lnc-ABCG1-2:1". The record is from RNAcentral. Lineage: Eukaryota; Metazoa; Chordata; Mammalia; Primates; Hominidae.
GAGAGGUUUGCACUGUUACAGAUGAAGGCAACAUAUUUACAUAUGUACAUGUAUAUACAUAUAUAUAUAUUCAAAAAUAACAUCGGCUCUUUGGGGUGUCUGUUUCCUUGGUUGUCUCACGCCACUGGAACAUUGAACCCAGACAGACCCUAGGAUGUGAGGUUCCUGACUGCACCUUACGGACCACAGAGCCACGUGUCUAUUUCUGUAGACCUAUCUCCUUAGAUUUGUACAUGCAUUUUUUGCGGACUUGAACUUUGUUUUCUGAAAUUAGAUGCCAUUUAUGAUGAUGUGAUGUCAAUCAAAUAAAGCAUCAUUAUUUUCA